RNAcentral lists this ribosomal RNA (263 nucleotides) under uncultured bacterium. RNAcentral's name for it is "partial 16S ribosomal RNA". It matches the Rfam family "Bacterial small subunit ribosomal RNA", at positions 793 to 1055 of the family's 1533-position model. The record is from RNAcentral.
GUCCACGCUGUAAACGAUGACAACUAGGUGCUGGACACCCAAGGGUGUUCGGUGCCGCAGCCAACGCGUUAAGUUGUCCGCCUGGGGAGUACGGCCGCAAGGCUAAAACUCAAAGGAAUUGACGGGGGCCCGCACAAGCAGCGGAGCGUGUGGUUUAAUUCGAUGCAACGCGAAGAACCUUACCUGGCCUUGACAUGCAAGUGGUAGGGGACCGAAAGGCGACCGACCCUCGGGAGCUUGCACAGGUGCUGCAUGGCUGUCGU